UCGGCAAAACUGUUGUGUUGGAGGAGGGCGAAUUUGCCAUGAAUACUUUUGUAUUUACUUCAGCCCAGCACUGAAAAAUGGUUUGGUCCUUUCUUUCGUUAAAUGGUGAGAGAUGCCUGCCAAAUAUUCCUCCACUGAAGCCUGCGAUGAGCAGCAUUUAUGUUCAUAUUGUCCAUGGCUGGUACAAGCAAGCACAUCUUCCAUACAUCUCU
Lolium rigidum is the source of this 212-nucleotide long non-coding RNA. RefSeq lists it as uncharacterized. The record is from RefSeq and is a predicted model, not a curated record. The transcript has 3 exons. NCBI's taxonomy places the organism in Eukaryota, Viridiplantae, Streptophyta, Magnoliopsida, Poales, Poaceae.